This 306-nucleotide ribosomal RNA is filed under the name uncultured Porphyrobacter sp. Its description in RNAcentral is "bacterial SSU rRNA". It matches the Rfam family "Bacterial small subunit ribosomal RNA", at positions 108 to 431 of the family's 1533-position model. The record is from RNAcentral. Lineage: Bacteria; Pseudomonadati; Pseudomonadota; Alphaproteobacteria; Sphingomonadales; Erythrobacteraceae.
GCGUAACGCGUGGGAAUCUGCCUUUAGGUUCGGAAUAACGGUGAGAAAUUACUGCUAAUACCGGAUAAUGUCUUCGGACCAAAGAUUUAUCGCCUUUAGAUGGGCCCGCGUUGGAUUAGCUAGUUGGUGGGGUAAAGGCCUACCAAGGCGACGAUCCAUAGCUGGUCUGAGAGGAUGAUCAGCCACACUGGGACUGAGACACGGCCCAGACUCCUACGGGAGGCAGCAGUGGGGAAUAUUGGACAAUGGGCGAAAGCCUGAUCCAGCAAUGCCGCGUGAGUGAUGAAGGCCUUAGGGUUGUAAAAU